Molecule: ribosomal RNA, 703 nt
Filed under: uncultured Alphaproteobacteria bacterium
Lineage: Bacteria; Pseudomonadati; Pseudomonadota; Alphaproteobacteria
Description: bacterial SSU rRNA
Rfam family: Bacterial small subunit ribosomal RNA
Source: RNAcentral
GCGAACGCUGGCGGCAGGCUUAACACAUGCAAGUCGAACGGGCGUAGCAAUACGUCAGUGGCAGACGGGUGAGUAACGCGUGGGAACGUACCUUUUGGUUCGGAACAACUGAGGGAAACUUCAGCUAAUACCGGAUAAGCCCUUACGGGGAAAGAUUUAUCGCCGAAAGAUCGGCCCGCGUCUGAUUAGCUAGUUGGUGAGGUAAUGGCUCACCAAGGCGACGAUCAGUAGCUGGUCUGAGAGGAUGAUCAGCCACAUUGGGACUGAGACACGGCCCAAACUCCUACGGGAGGCAGCAGUGGGGAAUAUUGGACAAUGGGGGAAACCCUGAUCCAGCCAUGCCGCGUGAGUGAUGAAGGCCCUAGGGUUGUAAAGCUCUUUUGUGCGGGAAGAUAAUGACGGUACCGCAAGAAUAAGCCCCGGCUAACUUCGUGCCAGCAGCCGCGGUAAUACGAAGGGGGCUAGCGUUGCUCGGAAUCACUGGGCGUAAAGGGUGCGUAGGCGGGUCUUUAAGUCAGGGGUGAAAUCCUGGAGCUCAACUCCAGAACUGCCUUUGAUACUGAGGAUCUUGAGUUCGGGAGAGGUGAGUGGAACUGCGAGUGUAGAGGCGAAAUUCGUAGAUAUUCGCAAGAACACCAGUGGCGAAGGCGGCUCACUGGCCCGAUACUGACGCUGAGGCACGAAAGCGUGGGGAGCAAAUAGG